This 433-nucleotide ribosomal RNA is filed under the name uncultured bacterium. Its description in RNAcentral is "partial 16S ribosomal RNA". It matches the Rfam family "Bacterial small subunit ribosomal RNA", at positions 29 to 507 of the family's 1533-position model. The record is from RNAcentral.
AACGAACGCUGGCGGCAGGCCUAACACAUGCAAGUCGAGCGCACCCUUCGGGGUGAGCGGCGGACGGGUGAGUAACGCGUGGGAACGUGCCCUUCUCUGCGGAAUAGCCUCGGGAAACUGAGAGUAAUACCGCAUACGCCCUUUGGGGGAAAGAUUUAUCGGAGAAGGAUCGGCCCGCGUUGGAUUAGGUAGUUGGUGGGGUAAUGGCCCACCAAGCCGACGAUCCAUAGCUGGUUUGAGAGGAUGAUCAGCCACACUGGGACUGAGACACGGCCCAGCCUCCUACGGGAGGCAGCAGUGGGGAAUCUUAGACAAUGGGGGCAACCCUGAUCUAGCCAUGCCGCGUGAGUGAUGAAGGCCUUAGGGUUGUAAAGCUCUUUCAGCUGGGAAGAUAAUGACGGUACCAGCAGAAGAAGCCCCGGCUAACUCCGUG